This 671-nucleotide ribosomal RNA is filed under the name Streptomyces badius. Its description in RNAcentral is "bacterial SSU rRNA". It matches the Rfam family "Bacterial small subunit ribosomal RNA", at positions 74 to 761 of the family's 1533-position model. Lineage: Bacteria; Bacillati; Actinomycetota; Actinomycetes; Kitasatosporales; Streptomycetaceae. The record is from RNAcentral.
AGCCCUUCGGGGUGGAUUAGUGGCGAACGGGUGAGUAACACGUGGGCAAUCUGCCCUUCACUCUGGGACAAGCCCUGGAAACGGGGUCUAAUACCGGAUAACACUCUGUCCCGCAUGGGACGGGGUUGAAAGCUCCGGCGGUGAAGGAUGAGCCCGCGGCCUAUCAGCUUGUUGGUGGGGUAAUGGCCUACCAAGGCGACGACGGGUAGCCGGCCUGAGAGGGCGACCGGCCACACUGGGACUGAGACACGGCCCAGACUCCUACGGGAGGCAGCAGUGGGGAAUAUUGCACAAUGGGCGAAAGCCUGAUGCAGCGACGCCGCGUGAGGGAUGACGGCCUUCGGGUUGUAAACCUCUUUCAGCAGGGAAGAAGCGAAAGUGACGGUACCUGCAGAAGAAGCGCCGGCUAACUACGUGCCAGCAGCCGCGGUAAUACGUAGGGCGCAAGCGUUGUCCGGAAUUAUUGGGCGUAAAGAGCUCGUAGGCGGCUUGUCACGUCGGAUGUGAAAGCCCGGGGCUUAACCCCGGGUCUGCAUUCGAUACGGGCUAGCUAGAGUGUGGUAGGGGAGAUCGGAAUUCCUGGUGUAGCGGUGAAAUGCGCAGAUAUCAGGAGGAACACCGGUGGCGAAGGCGGAUCUCUGGGCCAUUACUGACGCUGAGGAGCGAAAGCG